RNAcentral lists this ribosomal RNA (253 nucleotides) under uncultured bacterium. RNAcentral's name for it is "partial 16S ribosomal RNA". It matches the Rfam family "Bacterial small subunit ribosomal RNA", at positions 524 to 776 of the family's 1533-position model. The record is from RNAcentral.
UACGGAGGGUGCAAGCGUUAUCCGGAUUUACUGGGUUUAAAGGGUGUGUAGGCGGACUUUUAAGUCAGCGGUGAAAUCUCCGGGCUCAACCCGGAAACUGCCAUUGAUACUAUUGGUCUUGAAUAUUGUGGAGGUGGGCGGAACGGGUCAUGUAGCGGUGAAAUGCUUAGAGAUGACCCGGAACACCGAUUGCGAAGGCAGCCCACUACGCAAUGAUUGACGCUGAGGCACGAAGGCGUGGGGAUCAAACAGG